Zea mays is the source of this 685-nucleotide long non-coding RNA. RefSeq lists it as uncharacterized. The record is from RefSeq and is a predicted model, not a curated record. The transcript is spliced from 2 exons. Lineage: Eukaryota; Viridiplantae; Streptophyta; Magnoliopsida; Poales; Poaceae.
CUUGCAUCGUAGAGAGUCUAUUCUUCAAUGCUCUCCUUCACUGUACCAGACAUAAACAGUGCCGUAUCGAAGCUAAUGGCAUUGGGAGCCGAGUUGGAUGGGCCAAUCAAGUAUGAGAUCCAUGGAAAAGUUGCAGCACUGCGAUGCAUCGAUGGGCACAUGCUAGGCCUGUACGAGCCAGCUUGAAGAACUCGUGUCACAACGAAAGUAUUGAGAAGUUCCAUUAACCACUCACUGAAGACUGAUGUGUAUGUCCGGCAAAAGAUCUUUCCGCGUAAGACAACUUACUGGGUCUGGUGUGCAUGAAGUGGCAGAACUCCUUUUGUUAGCAAAAUCACGAGAGACACGGUGGAUGGUUUGCAGUCUACCAUUCUCUUCCUCGUGCUGCUGGUUAUGAUACACAUUUUUCUCGAACUGAAUGUGCCUAGCAGGUCGUCGUGGUAAGCUGAAGCCAGGUUUCAGUGGUCCUGCUCGGUCAUGGCCUUGCUUCAUGGCAUUGUGCCAGUACAUCUAAUUCAAGUUUCAGUUGUAGUUUGACUGACAUUACAUGUGUGCGUAGUUUCAAUUUGCAAUUCAAGUGCAGGAGUGCUCUGCCCCUGAUCAUCCAUGUAAUUGAAAUUCUUCUGUAAGCAUUUGUUCUGACAGUAUAAUUGUGGACCAUAAAGUUGCUGUUAACUUGUGUGUA